This 416-nucleotide long non-coding RNA is filed under the name Ictidomys tridecemlineatus (thirteen-lined ground squirrel). RNAcentral describes it as "lncRNA (ENSSTOG00000032023.1)". The record is from RNAcentral. Lineage: Eukaryota; Metazoa; Chordata; Mammalia; Rodentia; Sciuridae.
UUCAUUCUGUGUGAUAUUUAUUUAGUGUGUGUUACUAGGGAUUGAAUCUAGAGGUGCUCUACUACUCAACCAUAUCCUCAGCCCUUUUUAUUUUUCAUUUGAAACAGGGUCUUAUUAAGUUGCUGAGGCUGGCCUUGAACUUUCGAUCCUCCUGCCUAAGCCUCCCAAGUAGCUGGGAUUGCUGCACCUGGCUGGAAGCAACAUUCUGCACAGGGUUGGUGCCUGAGCUGGAAGAAGACCCUCUGAAGGCAGACUCUCGUUCCUCUGAAGCUAUCACAACUAACCAGAAGAAAUUCUUUCCAGCACAAAGAACUCAACAAACCGGUUUCAAAAAUCCCGUUUCUCCAUGUUUACUUUCUUUAUUAUGUGUUUACUUCUUGAAUGUUGAAAUAUGUAAGGACCUUGUAGAGAGAAAU